CUACGGGAGGCUCCAGUGAGGAAUCUUGCGCAAUGGGGGAAACCCUGACGCAGCGACGCCGUGUGAGUGAAGAAGGCCCUCGGGUCGUAAAGCUCUGUCAAGCGGGAAUAAAAUUACGCGGUAAAUAGCCGCGUAAGCUGAAGGUACUGCUAAAGGAAGCACCGGCUAACUCCGUGCCAGCAGCCGCGGUAAUACGGAGGGUGCUAGCGUUAUUCGGAUUUAUUGGGCGUAAAGAGCGUGUAGGCUGUUGGGUAAGUCAGGUGUGAAAUCCUUCUGCUUAACGGAAGAAGUUCAUCUGAAACUGCUUAACUUGAGUACGAGAGAGGAAAGUGGAAUUCCCAGUGUAGAGGUGAAAGUCGUAGAUAUUGGGAGGAACACCCGUGGCGAAGGCGACUUUCUGGAUCGAUACUGACGCUGAGACGCGAAAGCGUGGGGAGCAAACAGGAUUAGAUACCCUAGUAGUC
RNAcentral lists this ribosomal RNA (464 nucleotides) under uncultured bacterium. RNAcentral describes it as "partial 16S ribosomal RNA". It matches the Rfam family "Bacterial small subunit ribosomal RNA", at positions 339 to 795 of the family's 1533-position model. The record is from RNAcentral.